AGACCCGAAACCCGGUGAUCUAGCCAUGGGCAGGUUGAAGGUUGGGUAACACUAACUGGAGGACCGAACCGACUAAUGUUGAAAAAUUAGCGGAUGACCUGUGGCUGGGGGUGAAAGGCCAAUCAAACCGGGAGAUAGCUGGUUCUCCCCGAAAGCUAUUUAGGUAGCGCCUCGUGAAUUCAUCUCCGGGGGUAGAGCACUGUUUCGGCUAGGGGGCCAUCCCGGCUUACCAACCCGAUGCAAACUGCGAAUACCGGAGAAUGUUAUCACGGGAGACACACGGCGGGUGCUAACGUCCGUCGUGAAGAGGGAAACAACCCAGACCGCCAGCUAAGGUCCCAAAGUCAUGGUUAAGUGGGAAACGAUGUGGGAAGGCCCAGACAGCCAGGAUGUUGGCUUAGAAGCAGCCAUCAUUUAAAGAAAGCGUAAUAGCUCACUGGUCGAGUCGGCCUGCGCGGAAGAUGUAACGGGGCUAAACCAUGCACCGAAGCUGCGGCAGCGAACGUAUCACUUAAAGCGAUUCAGCGGGUUACGAUUGACGGAGCGAAGCGACGUCAAAGCGUAUACAAAGUCGAGUCGGUUUAAGGAUACGUUCGUUGGGUAGGGGAGCGUUCUGUAAGCCUGCGAAGGUGGCCUGUGAGGGUUGCUGGAGGUAUCAGAAGUGCGAAUGCUGACAUAAGUAACGAUAAAGCGGGUGAAAAGCCCGCUCGCCGGAAGACCAA
RNAcentral lists this ribosomal RNA (722 nucleotides) under Salmonella enterica subsp. enterica serovar Infantis. RNAcentral's name for it is "partial 23S ribosomal RNA". It matches the Rfam family "Bacterial large subunit ribosomal RNA", at positions 711 to 1348 of the family's 2925-position model. Lineage: Bacteria; Pseudomonadati; Pseudomonadota; Gammaproteobacteria; Enterobacterales; Enterobacteriaceae. The record is from RNAcentral.